GAUACAUCGAUUGCAAGCACUGGCAAAUCAAGCCACCUUAUGACUUGGAGCACCUGUACAGAAAUAGGAAGGACUUGUGCUCCCUAAAUCUACAAGUCUUUUGCAACGGUGGGGGUGUCAUCAUCCAGCCGACCUCAAAGGGGCCUGGAAGCACGCAUGACAGCCUCAUCUGGGUGGACUGUGCUCUGCCUGGGAGCUUCAAGGGUAGAAAACUGCAUAAUGGCUGGUUGCUAGGUGACUCUCGCUAUGCCUGAGAGCCAUGGGUGCUCACCCUCCUGUCCGUGGCUGGCCCAGCUGAGCAGCAGUGCAGUGCAGCCCCCACCCAUGCAAGAGAGGUCAUACAGUGCACCUUUGGUGUUCUGAGCAGGACACAGCGUAUCCGUCCAGCAUGGCAGUGACAUCAAUAAUAAUGAUGCAGUGCCAUGGGAUCAGGUGCCCCACUGUCAUGUAAUUGUACAGUGUAUCUCGGACAAAACACACAAGGCCAACAAGUAGAGAGCGACUACCAGUGACUGUGUCCCUUCUGUUCAAAGUGCACGUCAACAGAAAGAAUGCAUUGUGAUAGUUGGA
Molecule: long non-coding RNA, 570 nt
Organism: Rhipicephalus sanguineus (brown dog tick)
Lineage: Eukaryota; Metazoa; Arthropoda; Arachnida; Ixodida; Ixodidae
Exons: 3
Source: RefSeq, a predicted model, not a curated record